RNAcentral lists this ribosomal RNA (253 nucleotides) under uncultured bacterium. Its description in RNAcentral is "partial 16S ribosomal RNA". It matches the Rfam family "Bacterial small subunit ribosomal RNA", at positions 524 to 776 of the family's 1533-position model. The record is from RNAcentral.
UACGGGGGGGGCAAGCGUUGUUCGGAAUUACUGGGCGUAAAGGGCUCGUAGGUGGCCAACUAAGUCAGACGUGAAAUCCCCAGGCUCAACUUGGGAACUGCGUCUGAUACUGGAUGGCUUGAAUUCGGGAGAGGGAUGCAGAAUUCCAGGUGUAGCGGUGAAAUGCGUAGAUAUCUGGAGGAAUACCGGUGGCGAAGGCGGCUUCCUGGACACCAACUGACGCUGAGACGCGAAAGCGUGGGGAGCAAACAGG